CGCCCUCCCGUCCGCCGCCACUACACGACCUACCGUAACGGGACGGACGACGACGAGGGUAGGGGUAACGUUCGUUCGACAACUAAGUACGGAACGUAAACGUACGUAGUAGUGCAGACGAACCGCCGCGGGUGGGGAGUAGAAGUCUUCGUCGGUAGUACGUUAACCCUUACCGACCCGAAGAAUGCCGCAAGGGUUUGACGGUACGGGUAUAAGAAGCCCGGCUAACUACGUGCCAGCAGCCGCGGUAAUAC
Molecule: ribosomal RNA, 254 nt
Filed under: uncultured bacterium
Lineage: Bacteria
Description: partial 16S ribosomal RNA
Source: RNAcentral